UGGUAGUNCACGCCGUAAACGAUGAGUGCUAGGUGUUAGGCCCUUUCCGGGGCUUAGUGCCGCAGCUNACGCAUUAAGCACUCCGCCUGGGGAGUACGACCGCAAGGUUGAAACUCAAAGGAAUUGACGGGGGCCCGCACAAGCGGUGGAGCAUGUGGUUUAAUUCGAAGCAACGCGCAGAACCUUACCAGGUCUUGACAUCCCGAUGCCCGCUCUAGAGAUAGAGUUUUACUUCGGUACAUCGGUGACAGGUGGUGCAUGGUUGUCGUCAGCUCGUGUCGUGAGAUGUUGGGUUAAGUCCCGCAACGAGCGCAACCCUUAUUGUUAGUUGCCAUCAUUCAGUUGGGCACUCUAGCGAGACUGCCGGUAAUAAACCGGAGGAAGGUGGGGAUGACGUCAAAUCAUCAUGCCCCUUAUGACCUGGGCUACACACGUGCUACAAUGGCUGGUACAACGAGUCACAAGUCGGUGACGGCAAGCUAAUCUCUUAAAGCCAGUCUCAGUUCGGAUUGUAGGCUGCAACUCGCCUACAUGAAGUCGGAAUCGCUAGUAAUCGCGGAUCAGCACGCCGCGGUGAAUACGUUCCCGGGCCUUGUACACACCGCCCGUCACACCACGAGAGUUUGUAACACCCGAAGUCGGUGAGGUANCCUUUUAGGAGCCA
Molecule: ribosomal RNA, 664 nt
Filed under: uncultured bacterium
Lineage: Bacteria
Description: bacterial SSU rRNA
Rfam family: Bacterial small subunit ribosomal RNA
Source: RNAcentral